AUGGCGGUGAUGAUUGGCGCAGGGGUACGGACCUCAGCUGGAUCAUGGGAGCUGAAUGCAAGCUGUUUGUUCCAGUGCAGCUGGCAUGUGGCUGGCUCACUUGGAACCAGGUUUGCAUGAGACUUUGCCAAAAACUGAGCCAU
Molecule: small nucleolar RNA, 143 nt
Organism: Strigops habroptila (Kakapo)
Lineage: Eukaryota; Metazoa; Chordata; Aves; Psittaciformes; Psittacidae
Gene: SNORD94
Product: small nucleolar RNA SNORD94
Source: Ensembl